GAGUCUCAUAUUAAAAGUAAAAAUAAAAGAGGUUUGGAAGAUACUAGUAAGUGUAUGUGAUAAUUUAGGUCUUAACUGCUUUACGCUGCUAUUUGACUCCUGAUGUUUUUAGAUUGACAAAUGCAGAGGUCACCACUGAGUAGUGGCAAAAGCAUCAGGUUUGAUUUUGCAGAGUUCUGAAUGACUCUUGUAGUCUGUCACCGUGUUUCUGGUGAUCCAACAAGGGUCCGCUCAUUGCAAAAAGUGUGAUAGCUGCCUGAUUUCACAUAUAAUAAACUUUAAUUUGCAUUUAUCCUAAUUCCUUCUCUGAUCUGCUUGACCAGAGACUCCCUAUUGCUUGAGCAACCAAUUGUAAAAAAUAAUCAGUAAUCCAGGUUUGGCUAGAAAUAUGCUCUUUUCUGACGUCUUGUAAACGAUUUUGAGACCUUGAUACCUGUGUAUUCAUAUUAAACCUUGCAGUAAGUCGUCUUUUAAACAGAAAAUAGAUACGAAAAAGCUUAACAGGUACAAUGAUUCGGUAUUAACCAGAAUGUAACUUCUGCCUUCUCUUAGUGUAUCAGUUGCAACAGGAAGCUCCCCAUCCUAGAAGGAUAACCUGCACUUGUGAGGUUUUAGUUCCAGUCCCACUGAACGUUUCUGUUUUGUGCCCUAAGCUUGCAGCUUGACCCAGUGUAGAGAACCGUCCCAAAUAUUAUGGAAGAG
This 702-nucleotide long non-coding RNA is filed under the name Meleagris gallopavo (turkey). Its description in RNAcentral is "lncRNA (ENSMGAG00000018062.1)". Lineage: Eukaryota; Metazoa; Chordata; Aves; Galliformes; Phasianidae. The record is from RNAcentral.